GAUGAACGCUGGCGGCGUGCCUAAUACAUGCAAGUCGAGCGAACGGACGAGAAGCUUGCUUUUCUGAUGUUAGCGGCGGACGGGUGAGUAACACGUGGAUAACCUACCUAUAAGACUGGGAUAACUUCGGGAAACCGGAGCUAAUACCGGAUAAUAUUUUGAACCGCAUGGUUCAAAAGUGAAAGACGGUCUUGCUGUCACUUAUAGAUGGAUCCGCGCUGCAUUAGCUAGUUGGUAAGGUAACGGCUUACCAAGGCAACGAUGCAUAGCCGACCUGAGAGGGUGAUCGGCCACACUGGAACUGAGACACGGUCCAGACUCCUGCGGGAGGCAGCAGUAGGGAAUCUUCCGCAAUGGGCGAAAGCCUGACGGAGCAACGCCGCGUGAGUGAUGAAGGUCUUCGGAUCGUAAAACUCUGUUAUUAGGGAAGAACAUAUGUGUAAGUAACUGUGCACAUCUUGACGGUACCUAAUCAGUAAGCCACGGCUAACUACGUG
This 497-nucleotide ribosomal RNA is filed under the name uncultured bacterium. RNAcentral's name for it is "partial 16S ribosomal RNA". It matches the Rfam family "Bacterial small subunit ribosomal RNA", at positions 28 to 507 of the family's 1533-position model. The record is from RNAcentral.